RNAcentral lists this long non-coding RNA (351 nucleotides) under Trifolium pratense (red clover). RNAcentral's name for it is "long non-coding RNA (TPRA_LNC009940)". The record is from RNAcentral. Lineage: Eukaryota; Viridiplantae; Streptophyta; Magnoliopsida; Fabales; Fabaceae.
AACAAUACAAUAGCAGAUUAGCAGUGCACUCAUAACAGAAAAACAAGACAACAAUACUAAGCCUAAAAACUGGUCAGCAAUACAUGCAAUAGCAGUGCACUCAUACAUUAUCUCCAUUUAGCAUAUAAAUCAACCAAAGCAAUCCUUAUGAUACAUUCAGUACCUAUACACCAUGCUAGUAAGUCCCUUAACGCAUUUAAUACUUAAUUAAAAUUUAUCUACUAAUCGUACUACCAUACACCUCACAAAAGAUUAGAACGUUUCAAGUGAGAUAUGAGAUAAGAAAAUUUCAACAUUCCACUUACAUUUUUUCCUUAGCCACUUCAUUACCGCCGUCCAACUUCAUCCACA